GAUGAAGAACGUAGCGAAAUGCGAUAAGUAGGGUGAAUUGCAGAAUUCAGUGAAUCAUCGAAUCUUUGAACGCACAUUGCGCCCUUUGGUAUUCCUUAGGGCAUGCCUGUUCGAGCGUCAUUUAAACCUUCAAGCUAAGCUUGGUGUUGGGUGACUGUCCGCUUCACGGCGGACUCGCCUCAAAAUUAUUGGCGGCCGGUACAUUGGCUUCGAGCGCAGCAGAAACGCGAACUCGGGCCCGUCGUAUUGGCUCCCAGAAGCUAUCUUCACAAUUUUGACCUCGGAUCAGGUAGGGAUACCCGCUGAACUUAAGCAUAUCAAUAAGCGGAGGA
RNAcentral lists this unclassified non-coding RNA (332 nucleotides) under soil metagenome. Its description in RNAcentral is "partial contains 5.8S ribosomal RNA, internal transcribed spacer 2, and large subunit ribosomal RNA". The stretch from base 1 to 120 matches the Rfam family "5.8S ribosomal RNA", at positions 35 to 154 of the family's 154-position model. The record is from RNAcentral.